CUGUCGCUGUGUGAGCAUCUACACUUUAUACACUGGGGUACUGGGGAGAGUGGGAUAGUUCGGGCACUGUGAGCCAGAUCCAAAGCACGAGUGCCUCCCAUUGCCUGGGAAUGCAGAGUAGCGCCAGGCAGCAGUGGAACCCUGGGGCGCCAGGGUUCCGCCCACAAUGGCUUAACGUGUCAUCACUGUAUGUUGGCGGGGUCGUGUAAGCACUUAAGCCUGCACCCUGAAGGCCAAGGCUGUGAGGGGAGGUCCUGUCACCACGCUGCGUGGGAAGGGUAUGCAGCCUUCAUCCCCACAUAGGCCCACUCCACAAGGACCCCAAUGAAGGAGGCUCGUGUUGACGGCGAGCCAGAAGGGGGCCCUGCAGGCAUUCUUCCAGGAGAACCCUUACCUUGGCAUCUCUGCCAGAGAACACCUGGACCGGGAGCUGGCCAUCACCGAGUCCAGAAUCCAGGUAGGCAGCCCCAGUGCUUCUCUCCUGGUCUCCAUGGGUGGAGGCAUGCACACACACGUGACUAGCCCAUCGCCCGUCCUUCUGCGUGGUCAGCUGGGGAGCUCAGAACCUAUGGCCUGGGGAUGUGCGGGCCCUAGGAGCCCUUGCUCUUGGAGGUCCUUCCGAGGCCUUCACUCUCAGGACGAGGGAACACUGGGGCCCAAGGCCUGAGGCCUGACGACAGGUCCAUGCCCAUGAGCUGCCUGUCCCCAGAGAUCCUGUGUCCUGGCCAAUCGUUUUUCCCCAAUAAAACACUGUGAGUCCUACUAUACGGGAGGGGAAGAGACACAUUGAGACACACAGGUUCCCAUCCAUGACGACACUUUUGUCUUUUGCCUCCAGUGGAGAGGAAGGUUGUACAUGGGUCCAUUUGUGAGGAGAAUGACACCCGUUUCCAGUGUCUUCUCGGGUCAGUCAAAAUCUCCUCAGCACCCUACAAGUGACUGCAGCAGGAACUCCAUUGUCUGCCCAUGCCGACGAACAAAGAAGAAAUGACUCUUGUCCCCACACCGUCUGUUGUGUGUUUCGCAACAGCUCCCGCUCCUUGGGUCUGUUUCCAAAACCAGCGAACAAGACAGCUAAGGCAGAGCCACCAACUGGGCUCCACAAUUCCCCAAGGAGAAGGACCACAGCCUGGAAAGGAACAGCGUGAACAGGACAGUCACCUCCAGGUGACUCCUCAGUAUCCAAGAAGGGUCUCUUCCUGAGCUGCUACUUGACACAGGAAUGUGUCUCUGUGUGCUUACCAGGCAGUAGCAAAACCUGAGGAAGGGCACCAAGCUCUUCCCUCAGGCUAGAGCCACCCUAGUGACCUAGGAUGGCGAUGUUGUGCCUGCCAUUCCUGGACAGGCGGCAGGCGAGCAAUUCUGGGCCCCGAGGGAUCUGGGUCUUCCUGUCUUAAACCUGCUAGCCAGGACUACAGGCCUCUUCUUCCAUCAACACAACAUUGUUAUCCAAACACUGGCUUCUGGGGGUAGGUACAGGCUCUGGCUCCUUGGCCUCAGGGAAUGAGUGGUUAUGAAGACAGAGAACAUGGAGAAAAGCUCACACACACAGACAGACAGACACACACACACAGAGGAAGUCACACGCCAUCACACACACCCUGACACCCACUUCUGUCUCCACAC
RNAcentral lists this long non-coding RNA (1626 nucleotides) under Canis lupus familiaris (dog). Its description in RNAcentral is "lncRNA (ENSCAFG00040019397.1)". The record is from RNAcentral. Lineage: Eukaryota; Metazoa; Chordata; Mammalia; Carnivora; Canidae.